RNAcentral lists this ribosomal RNA (254 nucleotides) under uncultured bacterium. RNAcentral's name for it is "partial 16S ribosomal RNA". It matches the Rfam family "Bacterial small subunit ribosomal RNA", at positions 524 to 776 of the family's 1533-position model. The record is from RNAcentral.
UACGUAGGGUGCAAGCGUUGUCCGGAAUUAUUGGGCGUAAAGAGCUCGUAGGUGGUUCGGUAAGUCGGAUGUGAAAUCUCCAGGCUCAACCUGGAGGGGUCAUUCGAUACUGCCGUGACUAGAGGUCGGUAGGGGAGUGUGGAAUUCCCGGUGUAGCGGUGAAAUGCGUAGAGAUCGGGAGGAACACCAGUGGCGAAGGCGGCUACCUGGACCAGCACUGACACUGAGGCACGAAAGCGUGGGGAGCAAACAGG